GCGGGGCCGCCUCAGCGCGGCCGGUGCGCGCUGUCGCCAACCCGGGGACUCCCGUCCCGCCUCCGCUCGUGGCCCGUGGCCCGACUGCUGGGUGUCACCACCGUCCGCGGAGGAGGCGGCCCCGAACGAGCUCCCAAGGGACUCCCCGGGGCCGAGCCGGGCCCGCAUCGGACAACAGCGUUCGAGUAUCGGGUUCAACGCAGCACCACGAACUGAGACAACGGGAAGGGGCUUUACACCGGCAUCACCAGAGACACAAACGCUGCCCAGCUGCAUCCCAUGGCUUCCCUCUGCCUUACGUGACUCGGGUGAGAGGCCCACUCUCUUAAACGUCUGCCUCAACUCCCUCCAUUAAGUAAGAAUGCUGUGCGACGAGGUAGAAGCAAAUGGGAGAGGACAACGCUGCGGAGCUCCUCUACAUGGGUGAGGUGUGACGUGCAGGUAGGAGAUGGCAUGAGAGGGGGAGUCUGAGCACGACAGCAGAGCUAAAGCCAAAACUCUGCUCAUCUUCGUUAGCCCGAACGCAAACUCGGAGUAUUGCAAACCAUAUCAACCUGUCUUUGGAUCUGGCCGCUUCAAACACAAGCCAUUCCUACCACCCUGCAGAAGCAUCAUCAGCUAGUGUUAACGAUGGGGCAGCCGCCUACAAUUUUAAUAUGAGUACGGACUCGAAAGUGAGCUAGGAGAUGAGCCAGGCUGGCAAAUGCAUCAGCUCGUGGCAAUGCUUUGGUCCAUUCCUAAGAAGCCAUCCCUGCCAGGGAUUGGUAUCUGCUCUCAUUCUUUUUUAGCAUCAAGUAGGUUAAAUGGAAAAAUCCCUUCAGUACAGCGGCGAUGAGGAAGCAAGGGAACAUUUAUCUGCUCCAACUCCUGAUAUACUUCCACCUGCUUUUGUUAGUACAGAUCAGAGCGAGUACAGAUCUGGUUCCACCAGAACUCCGUCGCGUUUAAGGAAAGCGGUCAUUUGCUUUUGGAGUGCUUCCCGCGAUCCCUGCACUAUCCGUGCUGGGAAACAUCCCACUAUCCGUGCAGGGACACACCUCAGGAUCCCUGUUAGAACACACACAGACACCCCACUAUCCAUGCUGGGACACAACCCAGGAUCCCUGUUAUAACACACACACACCCCCCACUAUCCGUGCUGGGACACACCUUGGGAUCCGUGUUAGAACACACACACACGCCACAUUAUCCCUGCUGGGACACACCUCAGGAUCCCUGUUAGAACACACACACCCAUCCCACUAUCCAUGCUGGGACAGACCUCAGGAUCCCUGUUAGAAGACACACACACACUCCACUAUAC
This is a long non-coding RNA of Catharus ustulatus (Swainson's thrush), 1303 nucleotides long. RefSeq lists it as uncharacterized. The transcript is spliced from 2 exons. The record is from RefSeq and is a predicted model, not a curated record. Lineage: Eukaryota; Metazoa; Chordata; Aves; Passeriformes; Turdidae.